CUAGGAUAGCAUGGUUGAUCAUGCGGGAAGCUGUAACUGGUGCGAAUGCUCGUUUAUUUAAUGACUGCAUGCAAUGGCGUUAUAUAGCGCCCAGUGAUAAACAUGUCGCGGAACGUUUUGAGCGGUGUGGAAUUAAUAUGACUGUUGUUAUUUGGCAUGCGUGCAAUUAGUGUCCUUGAGUACUAGAUUUGAUAAUACAAGAGUUUUGUAUAGGUCUGUUCUAUGUUGACAUGCUGCCGUUUGAAUUGAGGAUCUUUG
This is a non-coding RNA of Paramuricea clavata, 258 nucleotides long. The record is from the annotation of a GenBank genome assembly. NCBI's taxonomy places the organism in Eukaryota, Metazoa, Cnidaria, Anthozoa, Malacalcyonacea, Plexauridae.